This is a non-coding RNA of Triticum aestivum (bread wheat), 135 nucleotides long. The record is from Rfam. Lineage: Eukaryota; Viridiplantae; Streptophyta; Magnoliopsida; Poales; Poaceae.
AAUAUACUCCCUCCGUCCCAAAAUUCUUGUCUUAGAUUUGUCUAGAUACCGAUGUACGUAAUACUAAAAUGUGACUUGAUACAUCCGUAUUUAGACAAAUCUAAGACAAGAAUUUUGAGACGGAGGGAGUAGUUA